Long non-coding RNA from Oncorhynchus tshawytscha (Chinook salmon), 500 nucleotides. The record is from Ensembl. Lineage: Eukaryota; Metazoa; Chordata; Actinopteri; Salmoniformes; Salmonidae.
UGUUCAUACACUUUCCUCUUUACCUCAGAGCUGCUGUUUAGUGCAGGUCUAUCUUUCUCCUCUUCCCACACUAAGUUUACACUCCCAUGAUGCUUUGCUCUCAGUGUGAAAUUCCACCAGGUGUGUAUUUACCUCAGUCAAGCACAUGAUCAGGUAACGCCUUGCUUUUUCAACUGUUUUUUUGCUGGUUUUAUUGGACAGAUAGAGAACAGCAGAGGAGCUCCAUUCAGAUGACAGGGAAUCUUCCAACCAGGGUUUCUGAAAGUUAUGGGACAUGUUCAGCCCUAACCUCACCAGAACAUAAAGUAGACAGGUUUCUGAAAGUUAUGGGACAUGGACAGCCCCAACCUCACCAGAACAUAAAGUCGACAGGUUUCUGAAAGUUAUGGGACAUGGACAGCCCCAACCUCACCAGAACAUAAAGUAGACAGGUUUCUGAAAGUUAUGGGACAUGUUCAGCCCUAACCUCACCAGAACAUAAAGUAGACAGGUUUCUGAAA